GGACUGAUGUUUUCCAACCCUCGUAGGCACGCUUUUCGAUCUUUUUGUGCCGCUUGUAACUUGAAGGCUGCAAGUUCAAGGGCAUCAAACAGUUACAUUCUGUAGUUUUCAUUUCUAGAGGUUGUUAAGAUGAGACUGAUCAAGAACAUAAAGAUGAAAGGCUAUAUCAUUUGUUCCAUCAUGCUGUACAGGCAGAGUCCACUGUAAAGUGUGUUCGACCUCCAGGUAGCAAAUGAAAUGGAUGGUGAUAGCCAUAUCAAAUGUGGCAGAUGGACAGAACAAAAACAGCAUGAUAACAGGGUGUGGAGACGAAACAUGCAAGUCUGUUUGUGUGCAUUAUACAGAGGCAAUCACAACCAAUGCCUUCGCCUCAGCUAGGAACCAAUGUAGCAAUUCAAAUUAGGUUAUUAGUACCUCAGUUCCUUCACCAGAGGAAUAGCCACCACCCUCUAGUUUCCUUUUCUCCGGCAAAACAUCUAGGAGCUCUGUGCACCAAUCGACAAGUUAAUGGAUAAUGAUGGCAAAAUAUCUAGAAGUUAGCACCAUGGAGAAGUUAAAAUAAGUUCAGCAACAGAUAUCUACCUCCGUUCCCUUUCACAUCCUUGGGAUCUUUCUUUUCCUUUUCAGUUCCACAGACAUCAAAGCACAAGUCUUUCAAGGAUGUUGAAACCUGCAGAAGAAGCUCACAAAUAUGAUAAGCCUAGAACAAAAAAUGUAGUUGACAACAAAAGGGACUAUUGCAUAGUAGGAAAGGCUGCAUCUUACGGAAGAGAAUUCAGUUUCAGAUGCACCGCAAAGCUCAAUCAACUUAGGCUUGUCUACCUUUAACUGCAAACAUAUUAGGUAUGACACUGUAAUUAGUAAAAGUUGUACGGAGGAAAUCUGUUUCUUCCCACGAAAUCAAGCGAGAGAGAUGAACCAUGGGGAUACCUUGUGUUUUUUCGCACACAAAUAGAAUGCCACAGCAAUGAACACGGGUCGAGUGAAAGCAGCACUUGCCCUCCGAGAAGCUGGCAACGAUGCAAGAAACCGAGUCUUGUAACUGAAACAUAACAGUAUAAUAAUAAUAUUCUACACUUAGAACCAAGCCAUCCUAACAAAUAAACAGAACCUGAUGCUCUCAGAAGCAUUUUGUAGUUGGCAGAAUUACAAGGGCAGCGAGCAAAACAAAGCAUUGUUUGCCUCCAACUUUGAAUCCUGCCAUGUUGAACCCCAUGCUUGGGAACAACUGGUUUAAGUUGUCACCUUCUAGUAUUAGAAACUCAACAGCUACCAAAUACAGCUCAAGGUACAUGAAAAUGGUGAUGGUGAGUCUUCCCUUCUGUCCAUGAAAAUGGCGCGGAUUCCCGUCCAUGCAUCGUUGUAGAAGCAACCCGGUAUACCAACAAAGAAGCGCCAACUGGAAAAGAAAUCAAGCUCCUCCUUCAGAGAGUGCAAAUGGAAUUGAUAGAAUCCCAACUCUUGAAGAAUUAAACAAGGUGAUUAAGAAUGUUUUGGGCAAAGAGGGUAUACAUGCUGAUCUAGCCAACUGACCUAAUUCACGUCUGUCGUAAUUAAGAAAAUUAAAAAUAUGGUGUGACCGGAGAGGAAAAAGAGACAAAUUUACCUAAUAAUGUGUAGAGACCAUUGAAACAUGCUCAACUUUAACAUAAUUGGAGCAUUGGUCUUUGAAUUAAAAAUUUGUAAUCAAUGAUCCUUUCACUCAUCAAAAUGAGUCAUGUUAGAAGAAUUAUUGUUAAAAUUGAGUUAAAGUUGAGGAAAAGUUGAGGGACAUUGCUUCAAUUUGAUUAAAGUUGAUGGACCAUUUCUCUAUUUGGAUUAAAAUUGAGGGACCAUUGCUAAUUUGCUACAAUGUUCUCAUUUGAUUUUUCAUAUUUAUCCCUUGAUUCAGCUUUAAGUGCAUAGCACGUGAGGAGUUGAUGAGAAAGAUCAUGAUUGCACGUUUUCAUGAGUUAAGAGACUAAUGAUCAUAAAUUUUUAAUUAAGGGAUCAUUCCUCCAAUUAGGUUAACGUUCAAAGAUUAUUGCUACAAUUUUCUCUUUACAAUAGUGGCACCUAUUGCUUUAUAACUGGGACUUAUGUCUGAAAUGACUCAUUUAAACAAUUCUUUACCUGCUAAAGAUUUGAACCUCUACAAUUUUAAAUGUGAAAAAAAAGGUAUUGACUACUAAAAUUCGAUAUUAUACUGAAAUUAUCGAAAAAAAGGUAUUGACUACUAACAGUGAACCCUACCUAGGGUAUAACAAAGGGAGGGCCAUUGUUGGAUUGAAAUGGAACACCUCCGAGUGGCCUCUCUGUGGUUUACGAGAGUGCGAAUGUAAUAGAUAAAAUAAAUUUACAAAUUUGCAGAGGAUAAUGAUUCCAAACCCAAUUAUUCAAUCAAAAAUUAACAAAUUUACAAGAUUGGGAACAAAAUCGAUGAAAUUGAUUCAGCGAGAGCACCGUUUUCGAACCUGAACUUCUUGGAUCAGGCAUCGCGGCGGUGACCCACCUGAAAAUGAUGAACGGAUUGCUGCAAAUCCUAGUUGAAAUCGCUUGCAGUUGCAGACAUUCCAGCGUUCAAAGAAGAAACCAUGGAGAACGCGAAGAGGAAAAGGGAGGUGAAGACUUCGAAGUCGCGCUCGAGUUCGCCAUCGGUUUCAUUGGAAUUUGGGAGAGGAUUUUGCAGAGUUAUCUGUUCGCCGAAAUUUGGAGAUUUUGGUGGUGGGAUGGGAGAUUGGCUUUUCUUUUCUGGGUUUGAAGUGCGGCAGUUUGGGGAUGGAGACGGCAGCGUGAGGUUGAUAACAGUGAGAGUUUUUUUUUUUUUUUUUUUUUAAGCCCUCUAAUUUAAUAUCAAAUUCGCCAUUCACGAAAUUCAAAUCGAAACACUUAACAGUGUCAAGUUGGGUUAAGUGAGUAGACAAGUGUCACAAAAUUAGAGAGGCCGAUUUCUUUUUGGAAACUUUAAUGAAAAGCUUCUAGUACUGUUCAUUUUAACAAAAAAUUAUAUUUUAACAUUAAAAAGUAAAUUCUGGUACUAUUUACUUUACCCUUUAUUUUAUCUUUAUUGUAAAAACUUAAAAUUUUCAAAUUUUUUUCAUUAAUUUUUUUUUUUUUUUUAUAAGUGCGGCAGAUUUCAAUAAAAACAAACGUUUAAGUACGAGUGGAUUAUAAUACGUGAUGAUUUUAUAUUCUAUAUUCUAUAUUUAACAAAAACGGAAUAAUCUACGGUAACACAAAUAUUCAGCAAACAUUACAAAAAUAUUAAAAACAAAGUGUACGGAGCAGAGAAAUUCCCUUCUUCCGAGUGAUUUUAUUCAUUGACCAAACAAAAGUAUGGUCAACCGCUUUCUCUCCAUCUUUCUACUGAUCUGAAAAGAACAUUGAAAGAGAAAAUAAUUACAAACAAUUAUUAAUAAGAUACUCAUUACGAAAAACAUUGGUUUAGCUGUAAUUUGUCUAAUUCAUUAUUGCCAAUUGUAGCAUUUGUAACAUUUUCAGUGGAUUUUGUGUUUGAGCAACAUCAACAGCUCCUAUAUUAUAUAUACGCAAACCAUAGUAAAAUAUGAAACACGUGUGGUGUACAGGCAUUAUUUGGUGUUUUUUAUUUUUUUAUUUUUUGUGGAAAUUUGUAUACAUGUGUAAUAUUUGUAUAAAUAAUUUUGAGGCCAGAAAUAUACUCUAAAAAAGAUGGAACAUGAAUUAAUUAAAUGAUUUUUCUAUAAAAUAAUUAUAAGAAGAAAACAUAAAUCACUUUUAAACUUGGGUUUUAAACUAAUCAAAUCCUUGUUGGGUCUAAAAUAAAUUUUGGGUAAUUUUAAAAUUUUAAAGAUAGUAAAUCCAACGGCUGAGAUCGAAAACGAUCAAAUCUAACGGUAAAAAAAAUCCAACUGCUAAAACAAUUGAAAAAAUAUAUGUAAAUCAAAAUUCACCCAAAAACUCUAUAUUACUGUAAACACGGAAAUUCAAAUUUCGAUGUCUACAAUUACAUUACCUGAACAUUAAUAGUUUCCAGUUAUAUAGUUCCAAAAUCUGCAGUUUUCAGCUAUGACUUGGAUCCCACGCUCCCAAACAUUUCGAAAUCGUAGGUUCAACAACAAUAUGACCCCCAAAACAAUAUUGAAGGAACAAACCAUGGGCAUGAAAAAUUGGGGUGCAAGUAUGCCAUGCAGAAUGAUCCAGCAGACAGCCACACUAAGCCAAGCCCUCCCCAGAUAACGAAUCGGUAUGGAAGUCGGGCGGAGAGGACAAAGAGUCCAAACCAAACAAGAGAGAGAGCUGCCAUAACCACGACAGAGAGAAUGUAGUAUGGAGGUUUGGCAAACUGGCUUGGAUUCAUCCCGACGGGGGUCAGAAUGGAAGCUAAGGCCAACAGGAUGGCCAAAGCCUCAGUUAGAUGUUGUGGGUACGGAGGCGCAUUUCGAAGAGGGUAUUGAUUUUCCACGUCCGCCAUAGCAGAUUUGGGAGAUUUGGGAGGAGGAGAGAAAGAAAUCAGGGAUUGAGAUUGAGCUGAGUACGGCAACUGGAGGAGGAGACAUAGUGUGUUUAUAAGAGUUGAUGAAUCAUGAUGUGGAUUGGGGAAUUUAGGUUUUCAGUGUAUCAUGAUGUGGAUUGGGGAAUUUAGGCUUUUAGUGUAAAAGUUCAGCUUGGUAGUAUGACCGCACACGCUGAACUUUUGCAGACGGUACGUAUGACCGCACACGCUGAACUUUUGGUAGUAGACUCUGUGUUAGGCUAGGCGCUUUUGUUUUGGGCUCAACUCAUGGGUUGGGCUCUUCCUUUGUUGGUGUUUUGGAGAUUCUUAGUUGUUGAGUGGCUGUUGUAAAUUUGGGCCUCCAGUUGCUACAGCGUUUGACAAUGAUCAGGCAAAAACUGAAUCUUUCGUGUGGAGCCGCAGAUGUUCUAAAAAAAAAUGAAUAAUCCAAAUUGAUUAAAUUUACGGAAGAAAGAGAAGAGGAGAAUGGAGAAGAACAGCAGAAGGAGACGAAAUCAGAUUCAGAGUUUGAGAGUCAAUUGCUGAAUUUAGAUGAACUGACCUUUUCGAUCACAGACAGUCAAACUAGAAUGCACAGGGAGAAGCGGAAGAAGAAAAAGAAGAUGGAGAGGGGGUGGUCGACAGCUUACCCGACGCUGUUCGUGGUCGGAGUUGACAAAAAUCAACGAAGCUCUGCGCGAUUACGUCGUUGUGAGCUGUGAGAGAGAAUACGAUGGUCACAUGACUCAAUGUGACAUCCAGAAAACUUAGUACUACAACACUAAACUUAAAAGGAAAAGUACAGAAGAAUCGAAACCAUUAUAAUUCCUUACAUGAUAUUGAAUGUCGGUUAGUUAGAAGAGCCCAAGAAGCGAUUGUUCCAGCUGCUAGCAAUCGGCAUCUCCCGUAUCCAUCUGCCAAAGAUAAACACCAAAUUAGAUGGAAACACAAAAGAGAGAAUUGGUGGGGCUAGCCAGCCGUCAUUUUAGAGGCGGUCUAGCGGCUCGCUACUAAUGAAUUGGCAACAUUCAUUUCCUUUUGUAUUUCAUUUAGUUAAGCUUCCGACGUGGGAUUUUAACAUUCUCCAGCCCCAGUAGCAUCAAUCAACACAAUACCACAAACCCAAAAUUGUGCAUAAAAGAACAGAAAUCAAUGACUGAUUACAAAUUUACAUGAGGGCAGUAAAAGCUAAUAAUGCAGGCUGAUUUCCACAUUGUUAGCAUCAUAAAUAUUCUCAUUACACACUUGAGCACCACUUGAAGCAGGAUAUUAUGUCUUUCUUGUAUCGUCCGCUGUCUCUUUCUAGUCCUAGUUUUUUUUUGCGCAUUGCAGUUACAAAUUAACAUUGCCAAGCAAUAAACUGAUAAAAAGGAAGGGGGAAAAUACAACCAAGCCACCCAUAGACCAAGCAAGCAAAACCAGAUGCAAACAAAUAUACAAAUAAGCAAACUUCAAAAGAUAAAAUAGCAAAAAACCAAACACAUAUAACCACAAUCUAAGAACAUUUUAAUUACAAAAAAGAAAACUGACCUUUUGCGUGGAGGCAAUGAGAAAAUAUAGAGAAGCAGACCAACUAUUUGAAAAGGUAAAAACAAAAGACAGAAAUCAAACAAUGAUAUAUCGGUCUCCAAAAAAAAGUCACAUUAUCACUCCAACUAAUGUACUUCCUAUAUUUGACCACACAACACAUGCACCAUAAUCACUUCAUUGGUGCUCUGCCUCAUUUGCAAAUGUAGUUUUAUCUCCACUGAGUUUGUACAUGCAUGGAAAGUGGAAACAUAUGUUUUUCUUGUUAAUUUGAUUAGAUUAUAAACUGUUUAACUAAUUCCUGGAAUUCAUAUCUGUAACAUCAAACUAUAUCAGUUGGAUUUUACUGGUAUGUAAAACAGUUGUAUAAUGAACAAACAAUGAAAGAAGGAAGCCAAAUAAGGACAAUGAAAAGAAGAGAAUUCAAACACAUUGAGAAUAUUAGUUUCAUAUUUUGAGAACAGAUUUAUUCCAUUACCUUCUACCUUCCCUCUCUUUUAGCAACAAACAAUAGUCAUUAAAUUUCUUCUCAUGGCGUCUGUGCUGUGAGCUUGGCGAAGCCAUAUGACCCUAAUUUCCCUUUUUUUUGGGGGGAAAAAAUUAUACAAAUGGUGCGGUUUCAACUGUACCUAUUUAACCUCGGCGUUUUCAAUUUCAGUUUUACUUCUACCAUCCAUUAAUUUUCCUAUCCAAAAUGCUUUGAAAAAUAAAUCUAUAGCUGCUAACGGUCUAUAUGCUUCAUGCUGUCAGACUCUGCAAUCUAAAAAUUCAUGUAAAUGCAGAGGCUUGGCUGAAGGAGAGGCAUCGAAGAAAUCCAGAAAUCCUUCUAUGGCAAACUUAGUUGUACACCCAUGGCGUGUGUGUUGUAUGCUAGAUGCCCCCUCUCUUUUAACAACACACAAUAGCUUAUGCAAAUGCAAAAAGACUUCAACAUGUUUCAUUUAAAAUAAGUUUACAUUUUGUAGCAAAUGCAUAUGGCGAAAUACGUGUACAUGUACAUCCUUCAGAAGGUUUAGGCUAGUUUGUCUGGUCCCCUUGCAAAGAACUGAGAAGAAGCAAACACAUAUCAAUUGGGUUUUUCCAUCUCAAUGUGCAUGAUUGGUACAGAGUGAAACAAUCUGAAAGGAAAUGCAUUCAAACCUUUUGCCUUGGUUUCUUUAUUAGAUGUGAGGACUGAGGUUUUCCAACCCUCGUAGGCACGCUUUUUGAUCUUUUUGUGCCGCUUGUAACUUGAAGACUGCAAGUUCAAAGGCAUCAAACAGUUACAUUCUGUAGUUUUCAUUUCUAGGGUGGCUUACUCUAGAGGUUGUUAAGAUGAGACUGAUCAAGAACAUAAAAACAAAAGCUAUAUCAUUUGUUCCGUCAUGCUGUACAGGCAGAGUCCAC
Molecule: long non-coding RNA, 7366 nt
Filed under: Malus domestica (apple)
Lineage: Eukaryota; Viridiplantae; Streptophyta; Magnoliopsida; Rosales; Rosaceae
Description: long non-coding RNA (MDOM_LNC016081)
Source: RNAcentral